This 66-nucleotide transfer RNA is filed under the name Anaplectoidea varia. Its description in RNAcentral is "tRNA-Ser". It matches the Rfam family "tRNA". From Rfam's summary of the family: Transfer RNA (tRNA) molecules are approximately 80 nucleotides in length. Their secondary structure includes four short double-helical elements and three loops (D, anti-codon, and T loops). Further hydrogen bonds mediate the characteristic L-shaped molecular structure. tRNAs have two regions of fundamental functional importance: the anti-codon, which is responsible for specific mRNA codon recognition, and the 3' end, to which the tRNAs corresponding amino acid is attached (by aminoacyl-tRNA synthetases). tRNAs cope with the degeneracy of the genetic code in two manners: having more than one tRNA (with a specific anti-codon) for a particular amino acid; and 'wobble' base-pairing, i.e. permitting non-standard base-pairing at the 3rd anti-codon position. Lineage: Eukaryota; Metazoa; Arthropoda; Insecta; Blattodea; Blattellidae. The record is from RNAcentral.
AGUUAAUCAACCUGAAAUAAUAUGUUUUGAAAGCAUAUAAAAGAGGUUAAAAUCCUCUAUUAACUU